UUUUGCUUCUUUAAACAACAUGGACUGCAUUGUGUCUUGAACCAUCUCAUGGUCCAUCACAGGUGUGGCGCCUGGUGGCUCCUCUCCUUUGAAUUCAUGCUCCUUAGUUCCUGUUACAUCACCCUUUGACAAAGACAAGUGCAUCAUACAAGAAUUUUGAGCUAAUAAAUCAGAUUGAAUAAAACUAUCACUCUUCAUAGAUAAAUCAGUUUUCUUUUCUAGUGAUGCUUCUAUCAAUGCUUGUUUACUUGGACAAACUACAGCAAAGUGUCCUCUUUU
RNAcentral lists this long non-coding RNA (279 nucleotides) under Brassica rapa (field mustard). RNAcentral's name for it is "long non-coding RNA (BRAP_LNC008579)". The record is from RNAcentral. Lineage: Eukaryota; Viridiplantae; Streptophyta; Magnoliopsida; Brassicales; Brassicaceae.